RNAcentral lists this microRNA precursor (52 nucleotides) under Marmota monax (woodchuck). Lineage: Eukaryota; Metazoa; Chordata; Mammalia; Rodentia; Sciuridae. The record is from RNAcentral.
UUUUUAGUAUAAGUAUGUCUCCCAUAUUUUAUGGGCUAUACUUAUGCUAAAA